RNAcentral lists this ribosomal RNA (446 nucleotides) under uncultured bacterium. RNAcentral's name for it is "partial 16S ribosomal RNA". It matches the Rfam family "Bacterial small subunit ribosomal RNA", at positions 28 to 523 of the family's 1533-position model. The record is from RNAcentral.
GAUGAUCGCUGGCGGCAGGCUUAACACAUGCAAGUCGAACGCUCCGCAAGGGGAGUGGCAGACGGGUGAGUAACGCGUGGGAACGUGCCCUUCGCUUCGGAAUAGCCCCGGGAAACUGGGAGUAAUACCGGAUACGCCGUAUUGGAAAAGAUUUAUCGGCGAAGGAUCGGCCCGCGUUAGAUUAGCUAGUUGGCGGUGUAAUGGAACACCAAGGCUACGAUCUAUAGCUGGUCUGAGAGGAUGAUCAGCCACACUGGGACUGAGACAAGGCCCAGACUCCUGCGGGAGGCAGCAGUGGGGAAUCUUGGACAAUGGGCGCAAGCCUGAUCCAGCCAUGCCGCGUGAGUGAAGAAGGCCUUAGGGUUGUAAAACUCUUUCGCCGGAGAAGAUAAUGACGGUAUCCGGAGAAGAAGCCCCGGCUAACUUCGUGCCAGCCGCCGCAGUAA